RNAcentral lists this long non-coding RNA (2085 nucleotides) under Solanum tuberosum (potato). Its description in RNAcentral is "long non-coding RNA (STUB_LNC011434)". The record is from RNAcentral. Lineage: Eukaryota; Viridiplantae; Streptophyta; Magnoliopsida; Solanales; Solanaceae.
UUUGUCGGCAAAGAAAGUGACCCAUAUAAUAUAUUAUAUAUAUAUGAGAGCUUUGCAAAAUUUCAACCAUCCUUUUUAGGAGUAAAUUUAUCUAGUUCCCACUUCAACUACACAGUAUUCACAUAUCUAAAUUCCUUCAACUACACAUUAUUCAUAUGAUGUUUUGUGCUCAUGUGGAAAUUUUUUAACACUACACCUGAUGGUUGAGUCAUUGUUGUGGUCUAUGCGGUGAUGAAAUUUGGUGGAAAACAUGUUUAACGCUAUAUUCUACCAUCUAAAUGAAAUUGAUUGUUUUACACCAGGUUUUGCAAGGUUUUAUUCAAGGUAUGUUAAGGCAAAAUUCUCUUUUUCAUAUCGCACGAAAUCUUAAAAUUUAUAGAUCAUCAAAUGAAUUGCUUUACUAUACUAUUCCUAGAAAGACCCUCUGUGAAGGGCAUUGAGAAGUGAGCUGAUGUUAUGCUUUGAUUCUAUCAUAUUGUUCUUAUACUUGUAUCCUUGUGAAGUGUGUUGCUGGUAAAGUUAUCCUCCGUUAAGUUUCUUAUUUCUUAUAUCUACUUGCGAGAUAUUGUCUUAAGAUUAAGGCUAAAAUAUUGGGGAAUUAUCAUGUUAUACCCAGGGGAGUUGUUAAGUCAUUCUUUCUUGUCAAAACCUUUUACAAAAAUGUCAAUUGAAAAUGAUACUAAUAUUAAAUCUUGUAGUCUAUUCUUUUUGUUAAUUAUAUACUUGUCAAGAAACAUAUUUUCUAAGACGGACCAUACUAUUAUCAAUUUGGAGUCAUUCAUAUAAAUCAAGUUAAGCAUGUUAGUAUCUUUUUAAGUUUCUAGAUGACUGAUUUUCUAACUUGAAGUCGAGUCAAGAGCUUUGAAUCCAUUAUGACUCUUUAAACCUAAAUGGUUGUACGAAAGUUAAAUGAGUUCAUGAAAAGAUUCUUUCAGCACCUUGAGUUCCUUUUGUAUAUCCUCAUGUUUAAGUUACCUUUCUGAAAUCGAGUUAGGUACUUAAUAGGCUGUUCUAAAAGUAUAUGAGGUUCUAUAUGAGGCGUUUACAUGUAUGAAAGUGAAUACAGAAUUAUGAGAACAUGAGUUCCAACGGGUCAAGGUUGGCAACAUGAGUAUGGUAACAUAUAUGCAUUACGAAUCCAUGACAUGACAUGCUAUGCAGUCUACUUCCGAGCUAUAAUCGGAAGGUAUGAGGCCUAUUGCCUAUAUUUAUACGUAUGAGACACAGAUGACCACAAGUUGGCGAAUAUGAUGCCGGUUCGCUACCGGAAGGCACCACCAUUGCUAGCAUUUGGUUGGGUAUGUCAUGCAUUUGCAUAUAUAUAUGUACUCACGACAUACGAUCAAAUGAGCAUAUCAUGCAUAUUUAAUUAGUUGGAGGUCAGAUGUCAGCCAGGGAGGCUAUUAGAGUUCCAGUUUCAGGUGGUAUGUCUAUUACCCUUUCUAUCACAGCUAUUUAUGACAUUAUUUUCCGCCUUACAUACUAGUACAUUUUCAUUCGUACUGACAUCCCAUUGCCUGGGGAUGCUGCAUGUCGUGCUGCAGGUUUGAACAAAUAUCUUGAUCUGCCUUUGCCACAGGGUUAUCGUCUCAGUUGAGGAUUGAUAAGCUACAUUCUUCCUGGAGCUGUUGGUUGUUUAUAGAUUUUACAUACUUGAGUUUUGUAUAUAGUUAUUGGCGUCGUUGGGGACUUACCCCAACCAGUUGAGUUGUAGUAUUCGUAGAGACUUGUUGACAUUUUUUUUGGUUGGGUCGGUUUCUUUUCCUUUAUGUGUUAGUUGUUUCGCUCGGUUAAGUGAGGUACUGGGUCUCUGUUUCGCCUCCGCUAGAUUGGGGCGUGACAAACUUGGUAUCAGAGCAAGUCGUGUCCCAGGGAGUCCACAAGUUGUGUCUGGUAGAGUCUUGCUUAUAGGUGUGUUGUGCACCACACUUAUAAUCAGGAGGCUACAAGGCAUUUACAUAUAGUUACUAAUCUUUCAUCCUCUAGAUCGUGAUAUAGAGCUAAGUCAUAGGAGGUUUCUUCUUAUUCACACUCUACUUAAGUGUCAUAUAAAUUGUAUCUAUUAAAGGCGACCUUAUAUUAGGC